This 444-nucleotide ribosomal RNA is filed under the name uncultured Acholeplasma sp. RNAcentral's name for it is "bacterial SSU rRNA". It matches the Rfam family "Bacterial small subunit ribosomal RNA", at positions 933 to 1382 of the family's 1533-position model. Lineage: Bacteria; Bacillati; Mycoplasmatota; Mollicutes; Acholeplasmatales; Acholeplasmataceae. The record is from RNAcentral.
UGGAUCAUGUUGUUUAAUUCGAUGAUACGCGAAGAACCUUACCAGGUCUUGACAUCCCAUGCAAAGCUAUAGAGAUAUAGUGGAGGUUAUCAUGGAGACAGGUGGUGCAUGGUUGUCGUCAGCUCGUGUCGUGAGAUGUUGGGUUAAGUCCCGCAACGAGCGCAACCCUUAUUGCUAGUUACCAUCAUUCAGUUGGGGACUCUAGCGAGACUGCCAGUGAUAAACUGGAGGAAGGUGGGGAUGACGUCAAAUCAUCAUGCCCCUUAUGACCUGGGCUACAAACGUGAUACAAUGGCUGAAACAAAGGGCAGCGAAGCAGUGAUGUGAAGCGAAACCCAAAAAAGCAGUCCCAGUUCGGAUUGAAGUCUGCAACUCGACUUCAUGAAGUCGGAAUCGCUAGUAAUCGCGAAUCAGAACGUCGCGGUGAAUACGUUCUCGGGGUUU